GAUCCUGGCUCAGGACGAACGCUGGCGGCGUGCCUAACACAUGCAAGUCGAACGGGACUUGCCCCUUCGGGGACAAGUUUAGUGGCGGACGGGUGAGUAACGCGUGAGCAACCUACCUUUCAGUGGGGGACAACAGUUGGAAACGACUGCUAAUACCGCAUAACACUUAUUUAGGGCAUCUUAAAUAAGUCAAAGAUUUAUUGCUGAGAGAUGGGCUCGCGUCUGAUUAGCUAGUUGGUGGGGUAACGGCCCACCAAGG
Molecule: ribosomal RNA, 259 nt
Filed under: uncultured bacterium
Lineage: Bacteria
Description: partial 16S ribosomal RNA
Rfam family: Bacterial small subunit ribosomal RNA
Source: RNAcentral